GACGAACGCUGGCGGCGUGCCUAAUACAUGCAAGUUGAGCGCUGAAGGUUGGUACUUGUACCAACUGGAUGAGCAGCGAACGGGUGAGUAACGCGUGGGGAAUCUGCCUUUGAGCGGGGGACAACAUUUGGAAACGAAUGCUAAUACCGCAUAAAAACUUUAAACACAAGUUUUAAGUUUGAAAGAUGCAAUUGCAUCACUCAAAGAUGAUCCCGCGUUGUAUUAGCUAGUUGGUGAGGUAAAGGCUCACCAAGGCGAUGAUACAUAGCCGACCGGAGAGGGUGAUCGGCCACAUUGGGACUGAGACACGGCCCAAACUCCUACGGGAGGCAGCAGUAGGGAAUCUUCGGCAAUGGACGAAAGUCUGACCGAGCAACGCCGCGUGAGUGAAGAAGGUUUUCGGAUCGUAAAACUCUGUUGGUAGAGAAGAACGUUGGUGAGAGUGGAAAGCUCAUCAAGUGACGGUAACUACCCAGAAAGGGACGGCUAACUACGUG
Molecule: ribosomal RNA, 497 nt
Filed under: uncultured bacterium
Lineage: Bacteria
Description: partial 16S ribosomal RNA
Rfam family: Bacterial small subunit ribosomal RNA
Source: RNAcentral